Molecule: ribosomal RNA, 490 nt
Filed under: uncultured bacterium
Lineage: Bacteria
Description: partial 16S ribosomal RNA
Rfam family: Bacterial small subunit ribosomal RNA
Source: RNAcentral
AUUGAACGCUGGCGGCAGGCCUAACACAUGCAAGUCGAAUGGUAACAGGAAACAGCUUGCUGUUUCGCUGACGAGUGGCGGACGGGUGAGUAAUGUCUGGGAAACUGCCUGAUGGAGGGGGAUAACUACUGGAAACGGUAGCUAAUACCGCAUAACGUCGCAAGACCGAAGAGGGGGACCUUCGGGCCUCUUGCCAUCAGAUGUGCCCAGAUGGGAUUAGCUAGUAGGUGGGGUAACGGCUCACCUAGGCGACGAUCCCUAGCUGGUCUGAGAGGAUGACCAGCCACACUGGAACUGAGACACGGUCCAGACUCCUACGGGAGGCAGCAGUGGGGAAUAUUGCACAAUGGGCGCAAGCCUGAUGCAGCCAUGCCGCGUGUAUGAAGAAGGCCUUCGGGUUGUAAAGUACUUUCAGCGGGGAGGAAGGGAGUAAAGUUAAUACCUUUGCUCAUUGACGUUACCCGCAGAAGAAGCACCGGCUAACUCCGUG